This is a long non-coding RNA of Junco hyemalis (dark-eyed junco), 1970 nucleotides long. NCBI's taxonomy places the organism in Eukaryota, Metazoa, Chordata, Aves, Passeriformes, Passerellidae. The record is from Ensembl.
GGCCCCAGGAGACCUGGACACGUACUGGUCUGGCACGGCCCCCAUCUGCCUGGGGGGCUGCAAGGGGCGGCACAAGGAGCUGAAGAGGAGCCAGUGUGGGAACGGCAGCUGCUGCUGGCUGGGCUACAAAUCCUUCUGCAGAGGUAAAGCCGGGGGAUCCCUGGGGAUGCUGCAGGGCUUUGUGCCACACUUACACAAAGUGUGAGCGCCUCCAGCAGCCCGGGCCGGGCGGGGACACAGCCUGGGGCACGCUCAGCCCGGUCUGGUGACCCCUGGGGCUGUCCCGUGGUCAGCAGGGCACAGCCCCUGUCCCCUCCCAGCCCUGGGGACCCCUAGGCCCCUGCCCAGGCUGCCACCCUGGCUCCAUCCCUGUCCUCAGUGAACUGCGGGCGGCCCGAGGCGGAUUUUAAUUCGGUGGUUCACGGCAAUGAUUGGUGGGUGGGCUCCGUGGUGCGCUACAGCUGCCGGCCCGGCUUCGUGCUGCUGGGGGACCCCGCCAGCGCCUGCCAGUCCGACGGGCGAUGGAGCCCCAAGCCCUCCUGCCUCCGUGAGUAUCCCGGGGGUACCAGGGCUGCAGGCCCGGCCCCGAGCCCUCCCCGCCCCAGGUGAGCCCCCCGUGAUGGGCUCUGUCCCCCAGGGAUCUGCCUGCGGGGCCGCAUCCAGAUCAGCGAGCGGGACCUCACGGGCCGGUGCUCCUCGUCGUGCGGCAGCCAGGAGCACCUGGGAGCCUCCCCCAGCCGCGGCUGCAUCAAAAUCUCGGGCUGUGUCACCAAGCUGUCGGGCUGGCCCCGCUGGUUCCAGCGCUGCGACAUCUGCGAGUGCGACUGCCACGUGCCCUGCGGUUCUUCCAGGUAGAGCUGGGCCAGCCAGGGCUGUCACCGCUGUGCUGAGGGAGGCUUCAACCCUGGGUUCUCCUUCCGUUUCACCAGUGUCUCCAUUGUGCUCCUUCCACAAGCUCUGUCUGUCCUGAGGUCCUGUCUCUGUCAUCUGAGAUGUUCUGGACUCACUCUUGCAGGGGGGAUCACCCCAGACUCUCCAGGGCCAGGGGGUGCUCUGGGAGCAGCAGGUGCUGGGAUCUGGGGGUGCCAUCACCCAUUUCCCUGGCUGCUUCCCAGAGGGGGCUCAGAGCCCCUCUUAGGGGUGAGGCAGCACCUGUGGCUGUGCCUGGUGCAAAAUACCUGUCCUUCAGUGCUGCAGGUUGGGAUUUCUGCAUGUCAGGAGAUUCCAGGCCCUGAGCUGGGAGCUGGAGCUGCUCCCUGAGCUCGCUGGAGCCAGCAGGAGUGUGGCAUCUGCUGUCCAUGGCAGCGACAGAGCAGCCUGGCCAGUGUGGCAUCUGCCUCCUGUCCCCGUGGCAGGGACAGAGCAGCCUGGCCAAGGCCGCAGCACCCACUGCUGAGGAACCAAGCUGCCCUGCAGCCUCCCUGGGAGUGCAGAGACGGGAAAGGUCUCAUCUCCCAGGUGGAAAGCCUUCCCUACAGGCUGCUGCAUGGCUGCUGGUGCUGCUCCUGCCAGGGGCUCUGUGGUCCUGCCCUGAGAGCCCCUCCCUGCAGGGGCUUCUGCUCGCAGCAGCUUGGGGCCAGGAAGGGGGAGAUGUGGCUGCAGCCAGGAGCAGCUCUGUGCCCCGUGGGGACAUCUCUGGCUCCUCGAUGGAAGCAGUUUUAUUCCCCAGGGAAGGAGAGGGUAGUCUGGAGCACAAGUGAUGGCACUGCUGAGGGUGCUGGAGGACCAGCCACGGGUCAUUAAAAAUAUAUUUGCAGGGAAUCCCACAGGUUCUCCUGUCAUGCAAGAGGUUCUGCUGCCCGCUCUGUCCCUGCAGCCCUGAACACAGAUGACAGAACCAGGACAGGCUCCCCCUGCCGCUGUCCUGGGUGGGGACACAGCUGUGGACAAGGCCACUUUAGGAAGGUCCCAGCUGUGGAUUAGAGGGAUGUGAAGGUCCCCGUGGCACUGGGCUCCAUCCCUGCUUGCUC